GGACCUCCAAUCAAGCAAGGCUACCCGCUGGAUUUAAGCAUAUAACUAAGCGGAGGAAAAGAAACUAACCAGGAUUCCCCUAGUAACGGCGAGUGAAGCGGGAAGAGCUCAACUUGAAAAUCUGGGUCGUUGUACGGCUCCGAAUUGUAGUCUAAAGAAAUGCAGCCAUCGGCCGACGCGAGACAAGUCCCUUGGAAAAGGGCGCCCCAGAGGGUGACAGUCCCGUACAUGCUUGCGUGGGUCCGUCUACGGCGUGUUUUCGACGAGUCGAGUUGCUUGGGAUUGCAGCUCAAAGUGGGUGGUAAAUUCCAUCUAAGGCUAAAUAUCGGUGGGAGACCGAUAGCGAACAAGUACCGUGAGGGAAAGAUGCAAAGAACUUUGAAAAAAGAGUUAAAGAGUGCCUGAAAUUGCUGAAAGGGAAGGAAAGGAAACCAGUGUAAUGUUGUGGCAUCUCCCCGUUGGACAUUGGACAGCGGUUGUGCCAUGGCGUUGGUCAAGAUGGGUUUGACUCGCAGGAGUAGGGUGUGAGGAAGGUGGUUUGCACUUCGGUGUGAAUGUUAUAUCCUCGCGCUUUUGCUGUGGGUUGGACCGAGGUCAACCUUGCGCCUCUGGCUGAGCUUGCUCAUGCAAGGUAUGAUCU
RNAcentral lists this ribosomal RNA (640 nucleotides) under Microchloropsis salina. RNAcentral's name for it is "partial 26S ribosomal RNA". It matches the Rfam family "Eukaryotic large subunit ribosomal RNA", at positions 1 to 634 of the family's 3401-position model. The record is from RNAcentral. Lineage: Eukaryota; Eustigmatophyceae; Eustigmatales; Monodopsidaceae.